UACAGAGGGUGCGAGCGUUAAUCGGAGUUACUGGGCGUAAAGGGCGCGUAGGCGGUUUAAUAAGAUUGAUGUGAAAUCCCUGGGCUUAACCUAGGAACUGCAUCGAUGACUAUUAGGCUGGAGUAUUGUAGAGGGUAGUGGAAUUUCCGGUGUAGCGGUGAAAUGCGUAGAGAUCGGAAGGAACACCAGUGGCGAAGGCGGCUACCUGGACAAAUACUGACGCUGAGGCGCGAGAGCGUGGGGAGCAAACAGG
RNAcentral lists this ribosomal RNA (253 nucleotides) under uncultured bacterium. RNAcentral describes it as "partial 16S ribosomal RNA". It matches the Rfam family "Bacterial small subunit ribosomal RNA", at positions 524 to 776 of the family's 1533-position model. The record is from RNAcentral.